This is a non-coding RNA of Oryza sativa Japonica Group (Japanese rice), 1888 nucleotides long. Lineage: Eukaryota; Viridiplantae; Streptophyta; Magnoliopsida; Poales; Poaceae. The record is from RefSeq and is a predicted model, not a curated record.
UCCUCCUCCUCUUCUCACCUGCGUAGCGCCGCCACCCCGCCUCACGCAUGGACGCACCGCCUCCGCCUCGACCUCCUCCUCCCCUAUGCGCGCCGUCGCCAUGGCCGCCGCCGCUGCCACCGCUGCAACGACGACGAAGACGACCUAUACGACGACGGCGAGGACAUGCGAUGGGAGUCCAUGUUCCAAGAUCUCAAGCCCACAUAGGAGACAGCUAGCUUAGCUGUAUGCGUCGUGCCCAUCAAUGGCGAGCUCCAAACAUGCAACAAUGCCUGCUCGAUCUGUGUGCGGAGGAAGAAGAAAAGAAAGGAUGAUAAUACAUAUGCAUCCAUGGUAUUCUUUGCGGAUGAUCUUACGAUGGCAAUGGUUCUCACGAAAGAUUAAACCUGACAAUCUUGGCAUACUAUCACAUCGAACCUUUCAAUUUGGCCACUCUGGAGAAUGACAGAGCAUUUGCAUCGAUGAUGUUCGUUAUGGACAAUCUUACAUUGGUGAUGUUGAUACAUAUGGCAUAGAAGACUCUGAAAACUUGGCAAUCUCAAUAUAUUAUAACAUCAUACCUUUGAAUCUGGCCAUCCUAUAGGAGUAUAGCUCAGUGCAAUGCAAGAAAACAAAAGCAGUACUUGCUGCUCUUCUCAUGCAAAUAUGGUGUAAUAGCUUCCUACAUAAGGUAAUGGUCUGAAUCCCAAUGUGGAGAAAUACAACUUUUUCUUCAUUUUUUGUUUGCAUAGAUCAAUUUGAACUUAUUUCCAUAAGUGAGACAGUUACUUAUAUUCCAUGCAAGCUAGGUGAUCUACAAUGGGGAGUUUUCUUCUUUGAGUAAGGAGAGUCUCUGUACCUUUUUUCUCCCAAGUUUUCUUUAAAAGUUUUUUUUUUAAAAAAAACUCUAAAAUGGCUGUAUGUUCUGAAAAAAAUCAGACUAAAUCAUUAGCUCAAAAUAAUCCACAUGCUCUGUAUUAUGGCUAAUAUCUUUGUCAGAUCAAACCUAUAGAUUUUACAAUUCACCUUAUAGUCAGGGAAUGCAAAUGAACAACCAAAUUAAAUAUUUCUCUUGGCAAAUUUUCCAUCUAUGGUUGUUUGGAUCGAUCAAAGAUUUCGAAACUGGUCAGAAAUUUAAUAGGUCAACAUAGCUACAUUGUUUAAUGUCUUAUUUCGCUAAAUCAGUUCAAGAUAUAUGCAACAAUAUAACAUUUUCUGAUGUACUAUCAAUAUAUUCUAUAUAUGCUCGUAUAAUAGUGUGAUUGACUCUGUAGGUGUUUCACAUCCAGCUAACCACAAAGGAUCAAUGCAUAGGUUAACCCACAAUUAUUGCAGCCCUAGAAAGUAUUGCUGAACUUUGCAUCAUGGAAAGAGUAUAUGUACCACACAAAAUAUCAAUGCCUUUAUUAUAUGUUGGCAUUUGAUUCAGUAUAAUUAAUGUGAUUCUACUUGAGUAUUACUUUCGAACGUGGUGGGCAACUUUCUAAAAUAUCUACCUCAUUUCAAUUGAGUUUCGAUAUGGCAUUUUAUUGUAUAUUCCAAUAUGGUGCACAUGGCAUUUUUUUCUUACAGGCAACAUUGCUUAUGUGAUUUUUCUGCUCUAAUGAUUUCCUGCUUUUGGAAUUUACUACUGAUCUAUCCUUUUGAAUUGAGAUUUUGCUUUCAUGGACAUGUUUAUAAAGUGAUGAUUAUAUUUAUUCAUUAUAGGAUCACUUGCCAGUAUAAUUUCAUUAAGAUACCAUCUUUUGACCAUGCAAUGUUUUGUGCAACCCUUUUUGGAAGAGGAGGAUAUAUAUGCCAUGUAGAACUUACAUAUUAUUUUUUGCAAAGCAAUUGCUAUGUUAAAAGAUUGCAACAAUUGAUGAAGAGAAGUAUGCGAUGAUGUUGCAAAUAAAGAACCACCUUUUUA